UGAGGAAUAUUGGUCAAUGGGCGAGAGCCUGAACCAGCCAAGUAGCGUGCAGGAUGACGGCCCUAUGGGUUGUAAACUGCUUUUAUAUGGGAAUAAAGUGAGGGACGUGUCCCUUAUUGCAUGUACCAUACGAAUAAGGACCGGCUAAUUCCGUGCCAGCAGCCGCGGUAAUACGGAAGGUCCAGGCGUUAUCCGGAUUUAUUGGGUUUAAAGGGAGCGUAGGCUGUUUGUUAAGCGUGUUGUGAAAUGUAGGAGCUCAACUUUUAGAUUGCAGCGCGAACUGGCAGACUUGAGUGCGCACAACGUAGGCGGAAUUCAUGGUGUAGCGGUGAAAUGCUUAGAUAUCAUGACGAACUCCGAUUGCGAAGGCAGCUUACGGGGGCGCAACUGACGCUAAAGCUCGAAGGUGCGGGUAUCGAACAGG
This 424-nucleotide ribosomal RNA is filed under the name Verrucomicrobiota bacterium. Its description in RNAcentral is "Verrucomicrobia bacterium partial 16S ribosomal RNA". It matches the Rfam family "Bacterial small subunit ribosomal RNA", at positions 355 to 776 of the family's 1533-position model. The record is from RNAcentral. Lineage: Bacteria; Pseudomonadati; Verrucomicrobiota.